This is an unclassified non-coding RNA of Pongo abelii (Sumatran orangutan), 148 nucleotides long. It matches the Rfam family "Metazoan signal recognition particle RNA". From Rfam's summary of the family: The signal recognition particle (SRP) is a universally conserved ribonucleoprotein. It is involved in the co-translational targeting of proteins to membranes. NCBI's taxonomy places the organism in Eukaryota, Metazoa, Chordata, Mammalia, Primates, Hominidae. The record is from Ensembl.
GCCGGGCAUGGUGGCGGGUGCCUGUAGUCCCAGCUACUCUGGAGGCUGAGGCAGGAGAAUGGCUUGAACCCAGGAGGCAGAGCUUGCAGUGAGCCGAGAUCGUGCCACUGCACUCUAGCCUGGGUGACAGAGCGAGACUCCGCCUCAA